Molecule: ribosomal RNA, 484 nt
Filed under: uncultured bacterium
Lineage: Bacteria
Description: partial 16S ribosomal RNA
Rfam family: Bacterial small subunit ribosomal RNA
Source: RNAcentral
AUUGAACGCUGGCGGCAGGCCUAACACAUGCAAGUCGAGCGGAUGAAGGGAGCUUGCUCCUGGAUUCAGCGGCCGACGGGUGGGUAAUGCCUAAGAACCUGCCUGGUUGUGGGGGAUAACGUGCGAAAACGGGCGCUCAUACCGCAUAAGUCCAGACGGCGAACGUGGGGAAGCUUCGGACCUCACGCUAUCAGAUGAGCCUAUGUCGGAUUAGCUAGUUGGUGGGGUAAAGGCCUACCAAGGCGACGAUCCGUAGCUGGUCUGAGAGGAUGAUCAGUCACACUGGAACUGAGACACGGUCCAGACUCCUACGGGAGGCAGCAGUGGGGAAUAUUGGACAAUGGGCGAAAGCCUGAUCCAGCCAUGCCGCGUGUGUGAAGAAGGUCUUCGGAUUGUAAAGCCCUUUAAUUUGGGAGGAAGGGCAGUAAGUUAAUACCUCGCUGUUUUGACGUUACCAACAGAAUAAGCACCGGCUAACUUCGUG